GUGUCAGCAGCCGCGGUAAUACGUAGGGGGCGAGCGUUGUCCGGAUUUAUUGGGCGUAAAGAGCUCGUAGGCGGUUUGGUAAGUCGGGUGUGAAAUCUCCACGCUCAACGUGGAGGGGCCACUCGAUACUGCCAUGACUCGAGUCCGGUAGAGGAGUGUGGAAUUCCCGGUGUAGCGGUGAAAUGCGCAGAUAUCGGGAGGAACACCCGUAGCGAAGGCGGCACUCUGGGCCGGAACUGACGCUGAGGAGCGAAAGCGUGGGGAGCAAACAGGAUUAGAUACCCCCGUAGUCC
Molecule: ribosomal RNA, 293 nt
Filed under: uncultured bacterium
Lineage: Bacteria
Description: partial 16S ribosomal RNA
Rfam family: Bacterial small subunit ribosomal RNA
Source: RNAcentral